This 301-nucleotide ribosomal RNA is filed under the name uncultured bacterium. RNAcentral describes it as "partial 16S ribosomal RNA". It matches the Rfam family "Bacterial small subunit ribosomal RNA", at positions 509 to 807 of the family's 1533-position model. The record is from RNAcentral.
CAGUCGCCGCGGUAAUACAGAGGGUGCGAGCGUUAAUCGGAUUUACUGGGCGUAAAGCGUGCGUAGGCGGCUUUUUAAGUCGGAUGUGAAAUCCCUGAGCUUAACUUAGGAAUUGCAUUCGAUACUGGGAAGCUAGAGUAUGGGAGAGGAUGGUAGAAUUCCAGGUGUAGCGGUGAAAUGCGUAGAGAUCUGGAGGAAUACCGAUGGCGAAGGCAGCCAUCUGGCCUAAUACUGACGCUGAGGUACGAAAGCAUGGGGAGCAAACAGGAUUAGAUACCCCAGUAGUCCCUGUCUCUUAUAC